Capsicum annuum is the source of this 3066-nucleotide long non-coding RNA. RefSeq lists it as uncharacterized. The transcript has 3 exons. The record is from RefSeq and is a predicted model, not a curated record. NCBI's taxonomy places the organism in Eukaryota, Viridiplantae, Streptophyta, Magnoliopsida, Solanales, Solanaceae.
UGCCCUUUAAUCUUGUAGUCCUAAACAUACUAUGUAGAAAAUUGAAAUUAAAGUAUUGCAAAAAAAAAGGGCUAUUCUUUUUUGAAACGGACUAAAAAAAAGUAGGUCAUUCUCUUUUAAACAGAGGGAAUACAUUUUUAACCCCACUCUAUCAUUAAAUACAAAAAAAAAUUCUCUCUCAUCUUCUCUCGUUACUCUCUCCCACUUCAUCUCCCCUUUCCACCAUUUUUCAAUUUCGAGCUUGUAUAAAUCAUCUCUAACUUCGAUCUUCAACUUCAGAUAAGUUAUAUUCAUCUUUUGAUUAAUUUGUGCUCUAUAUUAAUGAGUUUUUUUAUUUUAUUUUUUUCGAAUUCGUUGUGGCGGUUGAACUCGUUGGAGUUAAAAAAAUUUGAUUUUUUUUUGAAUAUGGGGCUUGAUUUUACUGAAAUUGGUUGUUUUUAGUUGAUAUUUACUUGAUUGUUGAUGGAUGAUUGGUGUAUAUCGAUUAUCCUUGGCGAUUGCAUGUUGAAAUUUCAUCACUAAUUUUGUCGAAAUGUGGCAAGAUAUGUGAUUUUUGUUCAAACUUUUCUCCAAUAUAAUGGUGUUGUAGAAGCACGUUCAUGUUUGGGAUUCCUAUUGGUUUGAAUCAUAUUCGUAUUUGAUAUUUGGACCCGAAAAAUUAUUUUUUUAAAAAAAAAAUGGGGUUUGAUUUUACUUAAAAUUUGUGUUUUUAAGUUGGUAUUUGGUUUGUCGUGCAUUAUUUUUGUUGGAUUUUAAUUUCCCUCGAUGAUUGCGUUGAGAUUUUUUUGCCAAUUUUUCUCUAUUUUCGUGCUAAAAAUUCUAGUUCAUUUCUAUUUUUGUUCAAUAGAAUGGUGAUUUAGAUGAAUGUUCUUAUGGGUGAUGGAGUUGUUUUGGAAGAAACUUCUUCUACAAAUAGGUUUUUUUGGUGUUGCAACUGUUGUCAUGUUAAUAGACUGUUAGGUCGAUUAGGUAUUGUAUUUGUUGAUAGAGUUGAGAAAUGUUAUUUUUUGUCCGUAGAUCAUAACAAAUGGCUAGAGGUAACAAACACAAGGCUGUAGAAGUUGAUAGAUCUGAGAAAAAAACGAGUAGUCAAUGAAUCAGAGAAUAGAAAUUACAGCGAGGAAGCUAUUGAAGCUUCGGUUCGAAAUGAGCCGGAGGAAAUAAAAAUUGAGGCUAGGAUAGAUGAGGAAGCAUUGAUCUUGCCCACUGUGCAAGGUUUAUUUCGACUGAGAGAUACGACCUCACUAUAGUCCUGGAUGAUGUCGGAUCAUUUCCGGCUAAGAUAUCCAUUAUGUCCCAUUUAAAAAUGUUUUAUGAAUUCAAACAAGUCAUGGUUGAUCAACGUCUGAAGUCUAGGUUUAAGAAUUCCUGGUUUGGUGGUUUACGGGACUUUCCAGAACAUAGAAAGUUUAACGGACAUCUUGUCCACUAUACACUUCUUCGCCGAGUUAAACAGGACAACAAACUGCAUGAAAUAUGGUUCGGCAUCUAUGACAGUCCUGAAGGAGUUUGCGCUAAUCACGACUUUAAAUUGUGGGCGUUAUCCCCAUGAUUCAAAAUAUGUCAAAGCGAUGGAAAAGGGUGAAGCUUUUUUGAAAAAGAUUGCGAAAAAAAGAGGAGUGUAAAUGCAAAAAAAUUGUUGAAGCUUAUUAGAGGUGAGAGGCUGGACAAGGAGGACAAGUUCAAAUGCUACUUGGUUUGGUUCGUGCACUGCAUAUUGUUUGCACACGACUUGUCAAAAAUCGUGGACAUAGACACCAUCAAGAUGGUGGAUAACUUGGGCUUCUUUGAGAGAUACCCUUGGGGUAAGAAGUCAUUUACCUUGACUCUAGACUAUCUAAAGAAGCGGACAGACUUCAGCAGGCAGAAGAAGACAUUUGUGACAAAGGGAAUUUCAUCAUACGCGCUCUACAGAUUUCCCUGGGCAUUUAUGGUAUUUGAUUAUAAACCAUUGAAGUAUUUUAUUAUAUACUGUAAUUCAUCUAUGGUAUGUAUACUAUACUGACUCUCAGUUAUAUGUUUUUGUUUUUUCUUUUGAUCACAAAUUUGGAUAUACGAAGCCUUUCCUGCGUUUGGCAGGGAAAAUGGUAAAUCAACUGAAGACUCACUGCCCAUUCCCCGAUUGCUCAGAUGACACACCUCAAAAGAAGAUAAACUAAUCGAAGGUGAUCCAUAUUUGAACGGAUGGAGCAUAAAGAGAGUGCACCCGUACCUCAUCCCCACAGUCCGUGAAAUGAAGCAACACUACAUGAAAAAGUUUAAAGCAUCACAGACGAACCAAAAGACACAUUCAUCGAUGGCUUGCAGGCCCAUCUGGAGGGUGUAACUGUCAUCACCUCAUCGAAUGGUGAGGAUGGAGAUGAUGACCGGGAUUUGGGUGGAUAUACUGUUUCAAGGAAUGUUACUCGGGGUACGGGGACAAGUAAGCUGAAAGAAUUGGGAAAGAUAUCGAUGAUUGAAAAUCUGAAAGAACGCGUGUUUACGCUGGAGGAGUCGAUCAAGGACAUCAUUGAUUUUCUGAAAGAAGAGAGGCUGAGGAGAGCAGAAAAGGAGAAGCAAAAGAAGAGAGAUGAAGAUGAAGGUGUGCAGGUGCAAAGUCAGCAUUCAGCGGCAAGGGUUGUCCGCGAUGAUAGCGACAUUAAAGAAGCGCUCCUUAAGGUAGUAGCUUUAGAACAGGCCUCGAUCAAUGCUGAUGAGGUGAUGAUCCCUAGAAGGAAAAUCUAGAUAAAAGCGAUAAAGAGAAAGAAGAAGAAGAAAUGAAGAAGCUGUUUGUGAAAAAGAAAACAAAGCUGAUGGAUCAGCUGGUGUGGAGAAGGAGGAUCAUGAUGAAGACAGGCAGAAUGAAGAAGAUAAAAAUGAGAAAAGUGUUUGUGAAGAAGAAAAUAAUGAAGGAGAUGAAUAGAAAGUAGAAGAGAAGAAUGCAGGAGAAGUAGAGAAAGAAGAGGGAGAAGAAAUUAUGCAUCAGAAAAAGAAGGCAUCGCGGAGAAAGAAAAUAAAAAUGAAAAUGAAUUUCCGAACUUAGAUGAAUUUCUUAAUGAAGUUACUCAGGAAAUCAACAAGAUGCAA